CAGUAGCCGCGGGAAUACGUAGGUCCCGAGCGUUGUCCGGAUUUAUUGGGCGUAAAGCGAGCGCAGGCGGUUAGAUAAGUCUGAAGUUAAAGGCUGUGGCUUAACCAUAGUACGCUUUGGAAACUGUUUAACUUGAGUGCAAGAGGGGAGAGUGGAAUUCCAUGUGUAGCGGUGAAAUGCGUAGAUAUAUGGAGGAACACCGGUGGCGAAAGCGGCUCGCUGGCUUGUAACUGACGCUGAGGCUCGAAAGCGUGGGGAGCAAACAGGAUUAGAUACCCGCGUAGUCCCUGUCUCUUAUAUA
RNAcentral lists this ribosomal RNA (301 nucleotides) under uncultured bacterium. RNAcentral describes it as "partial 16S ribosomal RNA". It matches the Rfam family "Bacterial small subunit ribosomal RNA", at positions 509 to 810 of the family's 1533-position model. The record is from RNAcentral.